CCCUUAGAUGUUCUGGGCCGCACGCGCGCUACACUGACGAAUGCAACGAGCUUAUAACCUUGGCCGAAAGGUCUGGGUAAUCUCCAAAUUUCGUCGUGAUGGGGAUAGAUUAUUGCAAUUAUUAAUCUUCAACGUGGAAUGCCUAGUAAGCGCAAGUCAUCAGCUUGCGUUGAUUACGUCCCUGCCCUUUGUACACACCGCCCGUCGCUCCUACCGAUUGAAUGGUCCGGUGAAGCGUUCGGACCGUGGCCUUUGGACGGUUCGCCGUCUGUUGGCUGCGGGAAGUUCGUUAAACCUUAUCAUUUAGAGGAAGGAGAAGUCGUAACA
This 327-nucleotide ribosomal RNA is filed under the name uncultured eukaryote. Its description in RNAcentral is "partial 18S ribosomal RNA". It matches the Rfam family "Eukaryotic small subunit ribosomal RNA", at positions 1470 to 1796 of the family's 1831-position model. The record is from RNAcentral.